Molecule: unclassified non-coding RNA, 1541 nt
Filed under: Bombus terrestris (buff-tailed bumblebee)
Lineage: Eukaryota; Metazoa; Arthropoda; Insecta; Hymenoptera; Apidae
Description: misc RNA ENSBTSG00005037689.1
Source: RNAcentral
GCUCAACCUUUCACUCUCUGCCUCUCUUACUCCGUUAUCUUUUGUCCUUGUUCACUCCUCCACACUGGAACAUAUUACUCAAUUUUCACAUUUUUUCUAAAAUUAUUAACUUUAAAGACGAUUCGAAAAGCAUUAUUCAAUUCAAAAAUAAUCAAAUUGAUGUCUCCAAAUAAUACUCAAAUGAUAUGUCGUUGUCCGUUUAUCUAUUUUCCUGCAAUGUUCUUUGUUUUAAUCCUUAACCGUUCCCGUAACGGGAAACGUAUCCUAACCUCAAAACAAUAUAGAAUUGUAGAUAUAUAAUACUGUGAAACGUUAAAUAUACCGAAUAAAAGUUGAAUAAAUAAUGAAUCUGAUUUCUUGUUUCGUCCAGAGUGUGAGUGGACCAUGUACCAUCCAACCCAAUAUGUGGAAGGACCAACAUCGCUCUACCAAACGAGGUAAUUCCCCACUUUCGGUGGAGGAUGCACGAUCAGAACUCUGAAAAGCGAGUUUCCAUCGAGAUACCCUCGUUUUCGAACGAAAUUUCAAGAAUUUGUCCAUAUACGUAGAGAACGAAGAGAAAGGGAUCUGGAUGGGAACUCUGUGGUUACUUGGAGGUAGAAACCGAACGGGAAACGAAGAAAACUAGUUUCUUCCCCGUAUUGGCGUCACUUUCCUAUUUGCAGCAAACGAGAAAAAGAAGCGAAUGUUUAUUUAAAUGGACGCACACGAUCCCUCUCGCUCGUCAAACGCGUUGGAAGAUAAUUCUCGCCGUAAGCUGCGCCACUGAACACGCGACUAUAUUUUUCUAACAUCAUUCCGCUCUCUUCUCGGUGUCUCGGAGUAAUUUACCGCAAUUUCGAAGUACGCUUUGUUCGAGCAUGGUGCUUGAUGAGCCUGAGUGAACCUAACGUUAGUCGAUUCUACUUGAAAAAUCAUUUUUCUCACCUGUUUUCCUUACGAGAGAACGAGUAGAAGGAAAAUUUGAACAACACAUCGCCUUAUGUUUGCAAUACUUAUACAAUCACACAAGAACAUUUCUUUUUAAAAAUUGUCCAUCGACUUGAUAAGAAUUUUUGGUAAUUUUAUGCUCUUCUUAUGUAUGUUGUCAAAAAAUAAGAGUUUCUUCUUUCUAGGGAGUUUCUGAGAUUUCAUUCACGUUGGUAGGAAGAUGUCAGAGGUUCAUCGAGCAGCCAUACGUCGCAGUAGGCCAUUUCCUCCUAUCUACGAAUUUGAAAGACUAACUAAAAAAGCAAAGAGCAAAGUGCCGCGUCGAGAUUCCGCUUUUGCUGUCGUUAUUCUUCUCCAUUGGAAAGCAAGGCUGAUGUGCAGCCCGUAAAUCUAAUCCGACAUUCUUUUCCACUCGCCUCGAGCCAUAGCAGCUGUCCUGCCGUAUAUGUGUCAGCAAACAGAGAUGUAUGGAAGCACGUGCACCAUGGUGAUCAUGGACUACAUUCGUGACCGGUGGCCUGAUAUAGGGAAAAUAGGAAAACGGGUUUUUCCAACGGCAAGGGAAGGUUUGAUGAUAUAAGUUAGAUGAGAAAAUGGAUAAUACAAUUAUA